RNAcentral lists this ribosomal RNA (253 nucleotides) under uncultured Gardnerella sp. RNAcentral describes it as "partial 16S ribosomal RNA". It matches the Rfam family "Bacterial small subunit ribosomal RNA", at positions 100 to 356 of the family's 1533-position model. Lineage: Bacteria; Bacillati; Actinomycetota; Actinomycetes; Bifidobacteriales; Bifidobacteriaceae. The record is from RNAcentral.
GGGGUAGAGUAAUGCGUGACCAACCUGCCCCAUGCUCCAGAAUAGCUCUUGGAAACGGGUGGUAAUGCUGGAUGCUCCAACUUGACGCAUGUCUUGUUGGGAAAGUGUUUAGUUGCAUGGGAUGGGGUCGCGUCCUAUCAGCUUGUAGGCGGGGUAAUGGCCCACCUAGGCUUCGACGGGUAGCCGGCCUGAGAGGGCGGACGGCCACAUUGGGACUGAGAUACGGCCCAGACUCCUACGGGAGGCAGCAGCG